CUACUGCGAAAUGUGGAAAAUUUGGAAAACGAAGUAUUAAAAGUGAGAGAAUUCUAGAAAUUUACACAAACUGAGAUUGUGCGAGACCUCCUUCGCGGUCAGCCCAACAAAAACGACUCUUUCUCUCUCUCUCUCUCAUUGUCUUUUUCCGAGUUUACAACUACAAUGGCGUCGCCUUCCGAUCCCUCCAACCAGCUGCUGCUAGGAAACAAACAAAGGAUCCCCUUUGAAAUUUCUGUUUCCCCUAAUUUAUGCUCCUGUUCUUCCUCUUAUUCGAAUUCAAUUGCGACAUAACCCUGUUUUGAGGGACCGUUUGUUCACUGCUGUGCUUGCUGGGGCAUUUGCUCAUGGCUUUUACUUGAUAUCAGAUCUCUAUGAUAUUGAGAGCAAAUGAACCUGCAGAUGGUGGCUCGUGAUAUCCAUGGCUUACAGCUAUUCUGAAACAUCUUCCAGUUUCCAGAUAUCAUAUGCAGCUUGAUACUCCGGUUACAACUUGAAAAGCUCAAGACAGAUUUGAGGGUUAAUAGUUUUCUCAUUCCUUUUCUUGUGGACCAAUAACUAUGCUUUAUAUUACCUAGAAAUGAAAUAAUUACCCUAUCAUGAAGCUGCUUUUGCUAA
Non-coding RNA from Camellia sinensis, 618 nucleotides. The record is from RefSeq and is a predicted model, not a curated record. NCBI's taxonomy places the organism in Eukaryota, Viridiplantae, Streptophyta, Magnoliopsida, Ericales, Theaceae.